Long non-coding RNA from Saccostrea echinata, 289 nucleotides. RefSeq lists it as uncharacterized. The record is from RefSeq and is a predicted model, not a curated record. The transcript has 3 exons. NCBI's taxonomy places the organism in Eukaryota, Metazoa, Mollusca, Bivalvia, Ostreida, Ostreidae.
UAAACACACUAAAGGAUCACUACCGACUGAUCAGUACUAAACACCAGCCUAGUGUCACACGCUGGCUACAGGUACUUUCAAAACAUGGAGGUAAGGAGGACGACAUGAAAAGAGUCAUCGACCUUAAAUCUCAGCUUUAGCAAACAAAGAAUCGGUUUGAUGAUCUGAAAGUGAUACCCCUAGAGGAGCAAACAAAGAAUGGAGAUGAUGACAGGGAUGAUGCAUUUGAAGACGUGCCAGAGAAAGCAGGAUUUGAAGCAGAUGAUCCUGAACACUUCAAGAAAGAUUC